GCGACCCCAGGUCAGGCGGGGCUACCCGCUGAG
RNAcentral lists this ribosomal RNA (33 nucleotides) under Minquartia guianensis. RNAcentral's name for it is "partial 26S ribosomal RNA". The record is from RNAcentral. Lineage: Eukaryota; Viridiplantae; Streptophyta; Magnoliopsida; Santalales; Coulaceae.